RNAcentral lists this ribosomal RNA (253 nucleotides) under uncultured bacterium. RNAcentral describes it as "partial 16S ribosomal RNA". It matches the Rfam family "Bacterial small subunit ribosomal RNA", at positions 524 to 776 of the family's 1533-position model. The record is from RNAcentral.
UACGUAGGGUGCAAGCGUUAAUCGGAAUUACUGGGCGUAAAGCGUGCGCAGGCGGUUGUGCAAGACAGGUGUGAAAUCCCCGGGCUUAACCUGGGAACUGCACCUGUGACUGCACAGCUGGAGUGCGGCAGAGGGGGAUGGAAUUCCGCGUGUAGCAGUGAAAUGCGUAGAUAUGCGGAGGAACACCGAUGGCGAAGGCAAUCCCCUGGGCCUGCACUGACGCUCAUGCACGAAAGCGUGGGGAGCAAACAGG